Molecule: ribosomal RNA, 379 nt
Filed under: uncultured eukaryote
Lineage: Eukaryota
Description: SSU rRNA
Rfam family: Eukaryotic small subunit ribosomal RNA
Source: RNAcentral
AGCUCCAAUAGCGUAUAUUAAAGUUGUUGCAGUUAAAAAGCUCGUAGUUGAAAUUUGGGUCUGGCUGACCGGUCCGCCUCACCGCGUGUACUGGCUCGGCCGGGUCUUUCCUUCUGGGGAAGCCCAUGGCCUUCACUGGCUGUGUGGGGGAACCAGGACUUUUACUUUGAAAAAAUUAGAGUGUUCAAAGCAGGCCUUUGCUCGAAUACAUUAGCAUGGAAUAAUGGAAUAGGACGGCUUUCCUAUUUUGUUGGUUUCUAGGAGAGCCGUAAUGAUUAAUAGGGACAGUCGGGGGCAUCAGUAUUCAAUUGUCAGAGGUGAAAUUCUUGGAUUUAUUGAAGACUAACUACUGCGAAAGCAUUUGUCAAGGAUGUUUUCA